RNAcentral lists this ribosomal RNA (416 nucleotides) under Bacillus sp. R-32523. Its description in RNAcentral is "bacterial SSU rRNA". It matches the Rfam family "Bacterial small subunit ribosomal RNA", at positions 11 to 429 of the family's 1533-position model. The record is from RNAcentral. Lineage: Bacteria; Bacillati; Bacillota; Bacilli; Caryophanales; Bacillaceae.
GUUUGAUCCUGGCUCAGGACGAACGCUGGCGGCGUGCCUAAUACAUGCAAGUCGAGCGAACCACUUCGGUGGUUAGCGGCGGACGGGUGAGUAACACGUGGGCAACCUGCCUGUAAGACUGGGAUAACUUCGGGAAACCGGAGCUAAUACCGGAUAAUCCUUUUCCUCUCAUGAGGAAAAGCUGAAAGACGGUUUCGGCUGUCACUUACAGAUGGGCCCGCGGCGCAUUAGCUAGUUGGUGAGGUAACGGCUCACCAAGGCGACGAUGCGUAGCCGACCUGAGAGGGUGAUCGGCCACACUGGGACUGAGACACGGCCCAGACUCCUACGGGAGGCAGCAGUAGGGAAUCUUCCACAAUGGACGAAAGUCUGAUGGAGCAASGCCGCGUGAGCGAUGAAGGCCUUCGGGUCGUAAA